This 312-nucleotide ribosomal RNA is filed under the name Triticum aestivum (bread wheat). Its description in RNAcentral is "partial small subunit ribosomal RNA". The record is from RNAcentral. Lineage: Eukaryota; Viridiplantae; Streptophyta; Magnoliopsida; Poales; Poaceae.
AGCCCUCGAGCCCUCGUUCCCCUCGCACGCAGCCCCCCUCCCGCAUCUCAGCACCGCCAACCUCCAACAUCUCUCCCUCUCUCGAUCUGCCACUCCUCCCUCUCCAGCGCUGAUUCCCUCUCCUCCCCGUCGUCUCUUCCCUCUCCAGCGCCGAUUCCCUCUCCUCCUCGUCGUCUCUCCCCAGAUGGCGCACAUCUGCAGCUCGGCGGCGACCUAGGACCGGGUGGAGACCUACCUGGCAGCGGCAGGAGAGGAAGGAGCGACCGGAGGUGUGCCUACAGAUCUGGAUUGGCGGCUAGCAACGAAGCCAAG